CCUACGGGUGGCUGCAGUGGGGAAUAUUGGACAAUGGGCGAAAGCCUGAUCCAGCCAUGCCGCGUGUGUGAAGAAGGCCUUCGGGUUGUAAAGCACUUUCAGUGGGGAAGAAAGCCUUGGGGCUAAUACCCUCGAGGAAGGACAUCACCCACAGAAGAAGCACCGGCUAACUCCGUGCCAGCAGCCGCGGUAAUACGGAGGGUGCGAGCGUUAAUCGGAAUUACUGGGCGUAAAGCGCGCGUAGGCGGUCUGAUAAGCCGGUUGUGAAAGCCCCGGGCUCAACCUGGGAACGGCAUCCGGAACUGUCAGGCUAGAGUGCAGGAGAGGAAAGUAGAAUUCCCGGUGUAGCGGUGAAAUGCGUAGAGAUCGGGAGGAAUACCAGUGGCGAAGGCGGCCUUCUGGACUGACACUGACGCUGAGGUGCGAAAGCGUGGGUAGCAAACAGGAUUAGAUACCCGAGUAGUC
This 465-nucleotide ribosomal RNA is filed under the name Vreelandella stevensii. RNAcentral's name for it is "partial 16S ribosomal RNA". It matches the Rfam family "Bacterial small subunit ribosomal RNA", at positions 338 to 795 of the family's 1533-position model. The record is from RNAcentral. Lineage: Bacteria; Pseudomonadati; Pseudomonadota; Gammaproteobacteria; Oceanospirillales; Halomonadaceae.